UGGGGAAUAUUGCACAAUGGGCGCAAGCCUGAUGCAGCCAUGCCGCGUGUGUGAAGAAGGCCUUCGGGUUGUAAAGCACUUUCAGCGAGGAGGAAGGGUAGUGUGUUAAUAGCACAUUGCAUUGACGUUACUCGCAGAAGAAGCACCGGCUAACUCCGUGCCAGCAGCCGCGGUAAUACGGAGGGUGCAAGCGUUAAUCGGAAUUACUGGGCGUAAAGCGCACGCAGGCGGUUUGUUAAGUCAGAUGUGAAAUCCCCGCGCUUAACGUGGGAACUGCAUUUGAAACUGGCAAGCUAGAGUCUUGUAGAGGGGGGUAGAAUUCCAGGUGUAGCGGUGAAAUGCGUAGAGAUCUGGAGGAAUACCGGUGGCGAAGGCGGCCCCCUGGACAAAGACUGACGCUCAGGUGCGAAAGCGUGGGGAGCAAAACAGGAUUAGAUACCCUGGUAGUCCACGCUGUAAAACGAUGUCGACUUGGAGGUUGUGCCCUUGAGGCGUGGCUUCCGGAGCUAACGCGUUAAGUCGACCGCCUGGGGGAGUACGGCCGCAAGGUUAAAA
RNAcentral lists this ribosomal RNA (555 nucleotides) under uncultured bacterium. RNAcentral's name for it is "partial 16S ribosomal RNA". It matches the Rfam family "Bacterial small subunit ribosomal RNA", at positions 355 to 899 of the family's 1533-position model. The record is from RNAcentral.